RNAcentral lists this ribosomal RNA (253 nucleotides) under uncultured bacterium. RNAcentral's name for it is "partial 16S ribosomal RNA". It matches the Rfam family "Bacterial small subunit ribosomal RNA", at positions 524 to 776 of the family's 1533-position model. The record is from RNAcentral.
UACGGGGGGAGCAAGCGUUGUUCGGAUUUACUGGGCGUAAAGGGCGCGUAGGCGGUUCUUUAAGUCAGGCGUGAAAGCCCUGGGCUCAACCUGGGGGUGGCGCUUGAUACUGGAGGACUAGAGAGUGGGAGAGGUUGGUGGAAUUCCCAGUGUAGAGGUGAAAUUCGUAGAUAUCGGGAGGAACACCUGAGGCGAAGGCGGGCUACUGGGCCGAUACUGACGCUGAGGCGCGAAAGCCAGGGGAGCGAACGGG